AGCAGCCGCGGUAAUUCCAGCUCCAAUAGCGUAUAUUAAAGUUGUUGCAGUUAAAAAGCUCGUAGUUGAAUUUCGGGGUUAGUAGGUUGGUCAUGCCUCUGGUAUGUACUGGUCUCACUGAUUCCUCCUUCCUGAUGAUCCGUAAUGCCAUUAAUUUGGUGUUGCGGGGAAUUUGGACUGUUACUUUGAAAAAAUUAGAGUGUUUAAAGCAAGCUAACGCUUGAAUACAUUAGCAUGGAAUAAUGAAGUAGGACGUUCGAUCCUAUUUUGUUGGUUUCUAGGAUUGACGUAAUGAUUAAUAGGGAUAGUUGGGGGCAUUAGUAUUCAAUUGUCAGAGGUGAAAUUCUUGGAUUUAUUGAAGACUAACUACUGCGAACGCAUUUGCCAAGGAUGUUUUCAUUAAUCAAGAACGAAAGUUAGGGGAUCGAAGACGAUCAGAUACCGUCGUAGUCUUAACCAUAAACUAUGCCGACUAGGGAUCGGAUGAUGUUAAUUUUUUAAUGACUCA
Molecule: ribosomal RNA, 508 nt
Filed under: uncultured glomeraceous AM fungus
Lineage: Eukaryota; Fungi; Glomeromycota; Glomeromycetes; Glomerales; Glomeraceae
Description: SSU rRNA
Rfam family: Eukaryotic small subunit ribosomal RNA
Source: RNAcentral